GUAUGGUUUUGAAAGCCCACGUCUGCUCAAACUGUACCAUUAGGUAAUAAGGGGAUGCAUGCUGCCCUCACAUAUAUAAAUAUUGAGUUCAAGUGGCCUUUAGUUUUUAAUUUAAAGGAAAAAAAUAAAGAAAAAAAAUUUAGAUAUGUGUCUCUGAGGAUUCAUGCAGAUAUGUAUUUAGUUUCACAUCAGUUAUUCACUGGAUAAAUUUUGGAUACUUAUAUAGGAUCAAGGAACCAAAUAAUAUCUUUCAGCUAGUUAUUUUAGAUGAGGUUCUGAGUUGUUACAAAUGGUAUCAGAGCGGACUCGGCCCACGACUUAUGUGGACUAGAGGACACAGGAGCACGGAUCUAUUGGGGCUAACCACGGGCCGAUCGUGAUGCUUGUAAUUAGAUUUGAAUAGAUUUGAACCCUGAUGAGGACGUCAGGGCUUAAACGGGAGAAGUAU
This 448-nucleotide long non-coding RNA is filed under the name Phoenix dactylifera (date palm). Its description in RNAcentral is "long non-coding RNA (PDAC_LNC002710)". The record is from RNAcentral. Lineage: Eukaryota; Viridiplantae; Streptophyta; Magnoliopsida; Arecales; Arecaceae.